Molecule: ribosomal RNA, 3184 nt
Filed under: Fusarium sp.
Lineage: Eukaryota; Fungi; Ascomycota; Sordariomycetes; Hypocreales; Nectriaceae
Also listed under: 1 other name
Description: 16S ribosomal RNA
Rfam family: Bacterial large subunit ribosomal RNA
Source: RNAcentral
AGCUACAUAUUAAAGAGAUUUAUUUAUAUAAAUAGGCUUGCUAGCUGAUUGUAUAUAUAUGCUGGCCGUAUUUCAUAGCAAGCUCGCUUUUAAUAGGCAACCAGUAAUAUGAGCAAUUCUUUACCUACAAGCCUAUAAUUAUAUUAACUCUAAGAGAAAUCUAAUAAUAAACGGAGUGAAUUGAAAUAUCUUAUUAACUUCAGGAAAAGAAAUCAAAAGAGAUUCUAUGAUUAGCGUGAGCUAAAAUAGAGUAGCCUAGAAAGUCAAAUGGUGGAUAAACUGUUUAAAUUUAAUGGGGAACCUUCCUCAAAGGCUAAAUAUAAUAUGUAAGCGAUAGUGGAAAGUACCGUGAGGGAACCAAAACAAAAACAGUGAUUUUAUAAGCAGUUCGGAAAAAUAAAAAAGUUAGAACGUACCUUUUGCAUAAUGGGUCACCAAGUUAACAUUAGAUGCGAGAUUCUACGUAGUUAAACCGAGCGUUAAAAUAACGGUAAGUGUCUAAAGUUAGACCCGAAGCCUGGUGAUUUUACCAUAAUCAGGAUUAUAAAAGUCCGAACGGAAUAUUGUAGCAUAAAUAUCCGAAGAAUUAUGGUAGGUGUAGUGAAAGACAAUACUGACCAGGAUAGCUGGUUUUCUGCGAAACCUAUAACAGUAGGCAAUUUAAGUAUAAUAUCUUAGCAGGUACAGAAUUUAAUCUCAGACAAGACAUAAGGCUUAACUUGUUAACAAGUUAAGCCCAUGUUUUAUUUUGUACAAAUUGGGGGAUCAUGAAGAUUUUAUCAGUGAGUAUGUAGACUCGGAAUGGCAAAGAUAUAUCUUAAAUCAUCAGACAUAGAAUGAUAAGGUUGUAUGUCAAAAGGGAAACAGCCCAGAACAAGAGUUAAGGUUCCUAAAUUAUUAGUUGAGUGAAAUUAAGAAGGUUUUUAUUAAAGUCGACAAGGAGAUAGGCUUAGAAGCAGCCAUAAUUUUAUGACCUCGUAACAGAGCGCUUGUUAAGUUUUAAAAGCAUCGAAAAUUUAUCGGAUCUAAACAAUAUACCGAAACCUUGUCCAUAUUAUUUUAUAAUUAAUAGUCUCAGCAAGCUCGGACUAUACAAUUAUAAUUAAAUGGGGUAGCAGAACGUUGAGCUAAAUUAAGAUUUUUAUUUUUUAAAUGAAAUUAUAAUAAUUUAACUCAAGUGAUAAUGGUGACAUGAGUAACUAAAAGAAAAUUUUCCGCCUAAAGCUUAUGGAUGUAAUUAAGUAACGGCCUCUAAGUUUAUGGAAUCAAAAGAUUAAAACGAUGAGACAAUCUUUCAUACUAAGGACGACAUUUUAAGUGCAAAAUGUACUGGAAAAAUAGUAAUAAGUUUAAGCUAUGGCUAGAACUAGCUAUAGCUGUAAAUGGAAAGUAACCGUACCUAGAAUCUGAAACAAGUAAGCUAGUAGAGAAUACGAAGGCGUAAAUGAGCUAACAAUCAUAAAGGAACUCGGCAAAUUGACUACCGUAACUUCGGGAUAAGGAGAGCUCAUUAUUCUUGAUUAAUAUCAGGUAAAGAGGAAGAAGCAUGAAAUAGUGUUGUACGACUGUUUAAUUAAAACACAGCACUUUGCUGAAAGAUUAAAAAUCUAAGUAUAGAGUGUGAUGUCUGCCCGGUGCCGGCUGGUUAACAGAUAUAAUUAAAUAUACUAAUAUUUGAUGUAGACGGAAACCCCGGUUAAAGGCGGCCUUAACGUGAGGGUCCUAAGGUAGCGAAAUGCCUUGGCCGUUAAAUGCGGUCUUGCAUGAAUGAUGUAACGAUACAACAGCUGUCUCUAUGAUUGACUCAGUGAAAUUGGAAUAGCUGUGCAGAUACAGUUUACCUCUAGUUAGACGAGAAGACCCUAUGCAGCUUUACUGUCACUAAUUAUAGAGUAUGAUAAACAAUUUUCAGUUUAUAAGGUAAUUGACGGCCGGCUUGCUUAGCAAGCUGGCUCUAUGACAAUGAGAAUCCUUUAUUUUUUUUUCAUAUGAAUGAAUUGGUUUAGGACGAGCUUAAGCUCGUAGUAAAUCAACCUAAUUCAGCUUAUUUUCCUUUCUGCUGUAAGCGCAUAAUGAUAGAUUAUACUUAAAUUUGGAUUUAUGCCUGCAGAAAUAGAUAAGUACCCUUGGUUAAGGAACUAUCGCUAGGGGACAGUUUAUGUGGGGCACAGACCCUGUAAAGAGUAAACAGGAGUGUCUAAUAAUUUAUAAUUAUUUUGUUUGCGAUUUAAGGUAGUAUAACUAUUUUUAAUCAUAUAAAAUUAUUUAUAUGUACAUUCGUUGUAUAUAUAUUUAAAAAAAGGUAGGAUUUUCACUAUAUAGAAAUUAGAGAUAAUAAAAAUAUUAAGUAGUAGCUGCUGAGUCCUAAUCCCGCCGAAGGGGGGAUAUGGACUACUAUGUAUUUCAUAGCAAGCUCGCACUAAUAUUUUUUAACUAUUAAGACUGGCUAUCUAGCUAUGCUCUAAUAGUUAUGUUUUAAUUAUCUAAAAAGCUCAACGGCUAAAUCUUGCCUUACUGUUUGAUUAUCAACAAAUCUUACAGUUGCGUAAGCAGGGCAUAGGAUCACAAGAUGCAACAAGGAAAGAUCUUGGAUUAUUGGAAAAGCUACGCUAGGGAUAACAGGCUAAUUUGCGCAAGAGUGUACAAAAUGAGUGCGCGGUUUGGCACCUCGAUGUCGGCUUAACUUAUCCUCAUGGAUGCAGGAACUAUGUAGGGUGCGACUGUUCGUCGAUUAAAAAGUUACAUGAGCUGGGUUAAAUACGUCGUGAGACAGUAUGGUUUCUAUCUUCUAGGGGGAAUUAGAAUAUAAUAAGAACUAACUUUUGUACGAAAGGAACAAGAAGAAUUUAAUUUGUAAAAGGGUUAAAUAAUAGUUACUAACCUAUGGUUUACCUGUUGUCUAUGUGCCCAAAUAUUAAAAUAUAGGAUAAAAAUUCUAUAUAUCUGUAUAGCUUUAGCUAUACAUAGGGAUGUUUCUUUCACUAAGAUAAAUAUAUAGCAUAGGCACGGCAGGAAAGCUAAGUUGGUUAAGGAUAAGUGCUGAAAGCAUAUAGGCACGAAGCUUAUCUUAAGAUAUUUCUUAAAUAUACGUAAAAUAUUAUUACGAAGGAUUAAUAUAGGCUUUAUCCGUACGAAUCUGGAGAUUUUUAAGAAUAAAGUACUAAUUUUAUAAAUAACUAUUUAU